This 391-nucleotide ribosomal RNA is filed under the name uncultured bacterium. Its description in RNAcentral is "bacterial SSU rRNA". It matches the Rfam family "Bacterial small subunit ribosomal RNA", at positions 28 to 412 of the family's 1533-position model. The record is from RNAcentral.
GACGAACGCUGGCGGCGUGCUUAACACAUGCAAGUGGAGCGACGAACCGGGGCUUGCCCCGGGGCAGAGCCGCGAACGGGUGAGUAACACGUGGGUAACCCACCCCGAUGACCGGGACAACCCGAGGAAACUCGGGCUAAUACCGGAUGUGCUCCUUGACCUUGAGGUCAAGGCGUAAAGAUAGCUUCGGCCUUCGCAUCGGGACGGGCCCGCGGCCCAUUAGCUUGUUGGUGGGGUAAAGGCCUACCAAGGCGACGANGGGUAGCUGGUCUGAGAGGACGAUCAGCCACACUGGGACUGAGACACGGCCCAGACUCCUACGGGAGGCAGCAGUGGGGAAUCUUGCGCAAUGCGCGAAAGCGUGACGCAGCAACGCCGCGUGGGGGAAGAC